This 551-nucleotide long non-coding RNA is filed under the name Homo sapiens (human). Its description in RNAcentral is "long intergenic non-protein coding RNA 1226". Lineage: Eukaryota; Metazoa; Chordata; Mammalia; Primates; Hominidae. The record is from RNAcentral.
AGCUUCACACAAGCUAUCGCUGACUGCCGGUGCAUGUUGGAAAUGGGCCACAGGGCUGGGCAUGAUAUGAGCUGCCUGGACAUUGGAGGGGGCUUCCCCGGAAUGGAGGGCUCCGGGCCCAAGUUUGAGGAGUUGAGAACAACAAGCAAUAACAACCAUACGAAGAAUCUAGCAAACUCAGACUUUACUUCUCCUUUUCGUGGUCCUGGAAACAGCUCAGAAUAAAGUGGAUCUGGACCUCUACAGAAGAGAGGGAGCUCCAGAUUCCAGAUAGGAUUUCACUGUGUUGUCCAAGCUGGAGUGCAGUGGCUCAAUCACAGGUCAUGGCAGCCUCGACCUCCUGGGGUUCAGGUGAUCCUCCCAUCUCAGCCUCCCGAGUAGCUGGGGCUACAGCACCUGCCAGGAGAACAGGCAGUGGCAGUGUGACCAAGAACCAUGCCUGGUGGAUCCAGACAUGAUCAAAGCCAUCAACCAGGGCAACUAUGGGUGAGAGGCCCUAGAGGCACCCUCAGUGGGCACACAUGCAUACUCAUGCAUGUAUACACGCAUGC